GCCUUCGGAGCUGCCCGAAGCCCCCGGAGUGCAGCGGGAGUUCCCACUGCGCUCCGGGGGCUUCAGGCAGCUUCAGCGAAAGC
Non-coding RNA from Podarcis lilfordi (Lilford's wall lizard), 83 nucleotides. Lineage: Eukaryota; Metazoa; Chordata; Lepidosauria; Squamata; Lacertidae. The record is from the annotation of a GenBank genome assembly.